UGGCGGACGGGUGAGUAACGCGUGGGCGACCUGCCUUACACAGGGGGACAACAGCCGGAAACGGCUGCUAAUACCGCAUAAGCGCACAGUUUCGCAUGGAACAGUGUGAAAAACUCCGGUGGUGUAAGAUGGGCCCGCGUCUGAUUAGCUUGUUGGCGGGGUAACGGCCCACCAAGGCGACGAUCAGUAGCCGACCUGAGAGGGUGACCGGCCACAUUGGGACUGAGACACGGCCCAAACUCCUACGGAAGGCAGCAG
This 258-nucleotide ribosomal RNA is filed under the name uncultured bacterium. RNAcentral's name for it is "partial 16S ribosomal RNA". It matches the Rfam family "Bacterial small subunit ribosomal RNA", at positions 96 to 354 of the family's 1533-position model. The record is from RNAcentral.